CAAACUCAUUCGAUGAGAGAUAUAACAACAACAAUACUAAUAUGUCGAGUGAUUCUAGAUCUGUUUCUCGUUCACAGCAUAUGUUGGACUGGAGAUGUUGGAAUACUGCUGCCUUUCAGCAAACGAAACUAAUGAUAACGUUCUCAACAUGGACGAGAGCGAUCUCGACGUGAUCGACAGCGGUGUCGUCAACCAGGCUAGCGACAGCGGUCCAGCUGCAGGAGGCUAGAGGCAGAGGCAGAGGCGACAGAGAAGCAGUGAGAGGCAGAGGCAGAGGCAGAGGAUACAUCUACCCGUACGCACCACCGUAUUUCGUGAUUGAUGUAGAUUUAAUCAAGCAAAUUUGAGUCACUGUGAACUGUCCUACCACACACAUUAUCAUAACCAUUCACAAGAUCAUCUACCAAUACUUCAAUUACAGCGUCAAGUGAAACAAUUAACCAAUCUAAUAGUAGCCAUGGAAAAAAAUUAAUCA
Molecule: long non-coding RNA, 475 nt
Organism: Corticium candelabrum
Lineage: Eukaryota; Metazoa; Porifera; Homoscleromorpha; Homosclerophorida; Plakinidae
Exons: 3
Source: RefSeq, a predicted model, not a curated record